Molecule: small nuclear RNA, 84 nt
Filed under: Neogale vison (American mink)
Lineage: Eukaryota; Metazoa; Chordata; Mammalia; Carnivora; Mustelidae
Description: Neovison vison (American mink) U4 spliceosomal RNA (ENSNVIG00000006803.1)
Rfam family: U4 spliceosomal RNA
About the family: U4 small nuclear RNA (U4 snRNA) is a component of the major U2-dependent spliceosome.
Source: RNAcentral
AGCUUUGCGCAGUGGCAGUAUCGUAGCCAAUGAGGUUUAUCCGAGGCGCGAUUAUUGCUAAUUGUAAUGACUCACCUAAAAACU